RNAcentral lists this ribosomal RNA (365 nucleotides) under uncultured Rhodocyclaceae bacterium. RNAcentral's name for it is "bacterial SSU rRNA". It matches the Rfam family "Bacterial small subunit ribosomal RNA", at positions 1014 to 1382 of the family's 1533-position model. The record is from RNAcentral. Lineage: Bacteria; Pseudomonadati; Pseudomonadota; Betaproteobacteria; Rhodocyclales; Rhodocyclaceae.
GCUCGAAAGAGAACCUGGGCACAGGUGCUGCAUGGCUGUCGUCAGCUCGUGCGUGAGAUGUUGGGUUAAGUCCCGCAACGAGCGCAACCCUUGUCAUUAGUUGCCAUCAUUUAUUGGGCACUCUAAUGAGACUGCCGGUGACAAACCGGAGGAAGGUGGGGAUGACGUCAAGUCCUCAUGGCCCUUAUGGGUAGGGCUUCACACGUCAUACAAUGGUCGGUACAGAGGGUUGCCAAGCCGCGAGGUGGAGCCAAUCCCAGAAAGCCGAUCGUAGUCCGGAUCGGAGUCUGCAACUCGACUCCGUGAAGUCGGAAUCGCUAGUAAUCGUGGAUCAGCAUGCCACGGUGAAUACGUUCCCGGGUCUU